UACGGAGGGAGCUAGCGUUAUUCGGAAUUACUGGGCGUAAAGCGCACGUAGGCGGCUUUGUAAGUUAGAGGUGAAAGCCUGGAGCUCAACUCCAGAAUUGCCUUUAAGACUGCAUCGCUUGAAUCCAGGAGAGGUGAGUGGAAUUCCGAGUGUAGAGGUGAAAUUCGUAGAUAUUGGGAGGAACACCAGUGGCGAAGGCGGCUCACUGGACCGGAACUGACGCUGAGGCGCGAAAGCGUGGGGAGCAAACAGG
RNAcentral lists this ribosomal RNA (253 nucleotides) under uncultured bacterium. Its description in RNAcentral is "partial 16S ribosomal RNA". It matches the Rfam family "Bacterial small subunit ribosomal RNA", at positions 524 to 776 of the family's 1533-position model. The record is from RNAcentral.